Long non-coding RNA from Coturnix japonica (Japanese quail), 2594 nucleotides. The record is from Ensembl. Lineage: Eukaryota; Metazoa; Chordata; Aves; Galliformes; Phasianidae.
UAUGGGUCUCUAUGGGUCUCUAUGGGUCUCUGUGGGUCUCUAUGGGACUCUAUGUGGCUCAGUGUAUUGCUAAGUGUCUCUAUGCGUUUCUGUGGGUCCCUAUGGGUCACUAUGGGGCAGCUAUGUGUCCCUAUGGGUCUCUAUGGGGCAAUUAUAGGUCUCUAUGGGUCCCUAUUGGUCUCUAUGGGGUUUCUAUGGGUCCCUAUGGGGCUCAGUGUAUCACUAUGUGUUUCUAUGGGUCUCUAUGGGGCAAUUAUAGGUCAUUAUGGGUCUCUAUGGGUCCCUAUGGGGUCUCAAAGUGUCUCUAUGGGGUCCCUAUGGGUCCCUAUGGGUCUCUAUGGGGUCUCUAUGGGUCCCUUUGGGUCUCUAUGGGUCUCUAUGGGGCAUUAUGGGGUCUCUAUGGGUUCCUAUGUGUCCCUAUGGGUCCUUAUGGGUCUCUAUGGGUCCUUAUGGGGUCCCUAUGGGUCUCUAUAUGUCCCUAUGUGUCCCUAUGAAUCCCUAUGGGUCUCUAUGGGGUCUCUAUGGGUCUCUAUGUGUCUCUAUGGGUCCCUGUGGGUCCCUAUGGGUCCCUAUGGGUCUCUAUGGGGUCCCUAUGGGUCUCUAUGGGGUCCCUAUGGGUCUCUGUGGGUCCCUAUGGGUCUCUAUGGGUCCCUAUAGGUCUCUCUGGGUCUCUAUGUGUCCCUAUGGGUCCCUAUGGGAUCUCUAUGGGUCUCUAUGGGUCUCUAUGGGGUCUCUAUGGGUCUCUAUGUGUCCCUAUGGGUCCCUAUGUAUCCCUAUGUAUCCCCAUGUAUCUCUAUGGUUCCCCAUGUAUCCCUAUGGGUCCCUAUGGGUCUCAAUGUAUCGCAAUGGGGCUCAAUGUAUCCCUAUCUAUCUCUAUGGGUCUCUAUGGGGUCUCUAUGGGUCUCUAUGUGUCUCUAUGGGUCCCUAUGGGUCCCUAUGGGUCUCUAUGGGUCCCUAUGGGUCUCUAUGGGGUCCCUAUGGGUCUCUAUGGGGUCCCUAUGGGUCUCUAUGUGUCUCUAUGGGUCCCUAUGAGUCCCUAUGGGUCUCUAUGGGUCUCUAUGUGUCCCUAUGGGGUCUCUAUGUGUCUCUAUGGGUCCCUAUGGGUCUCUAUGUGUCUCUAUGGGUCCUUAUGGGUCCCUAUGGGUCCCGAUGGGUUCCUAUGGGUCCCUAUGGGUCUCUAUGGGUCCCUAUGUAUCCCUAUGUAUCUCUAUGGGUCUCUAUGGGGUCUCUAUGGGUCCCUAUGUGUCCCUAUGGGUCUCUAUGGGUCCCUAUGGGUCUCUAUGGGUCUCUAUGGGUCCCUAUGGGUCCCUAUAGGUCCCUAUGUAUCCCUAUGUAUCUCUAUGGGUCUCUAUGGGUCUCUAUGGGUUCCCCAUGUAUCUCAAUGUAUCUCUAUGGUACUGACGCGAUGAGCCGCACUCUGCCGUUAGGGCGCCCCCUGCCGUUGGCCGCCAGCAGCAGCAGUUCCGGUCGGCCGCCAUCUUGGUUCCGGGACGCGGCACCGACAGCAACGAACGACACGGGGUCACCGCUACGGGUCACCUGGGGGGGUCAAAGGCCGCUGACAGCCGUUGUGACGCUGAGGGCUGCACCAUGACCAGUGACAUAGAGCACAGCAUGGACCAGCUGUGAGUUAAUACCCCCUUAUUAAUUACCCCCUUUUUAAUUACCCCACUUAUUAAUUACCCCCCUUAUUAAUUACCACCCUUAUUACCCCCUUAUUAAUUACCCCCCCCUUUAUUACCCCCCUUAUUAAUUAACCCCAUUAUUAAUUACCCCCCUUAUUUAAUUACCCCCCUUAUUAAUUACCCCCCUUAUUUAAUUUCCCCCCUUAUUUACCCCCUUAUUAAUUACCCCCCCUAUUAAUUACCCCCCUUAGUACUCCCUUAUUAAUUACCCCCUUUAUUUAAUUUACCCCCCCUUAUUAAUUACCCCCCCUUAUUAAUUACCCCCCUUAUUAAUUACCCCCCCUUAUUAAUUAACCCCUUGAUUAAUUACCCCCCCUUAUUAAUUUACCCCCCUUAUUUAAUUACCCCCCUAAAUUCCCCCCCUUAUUACCCCCCCUUAGUAAUGGCCCCCCCCCAUAUAACCCAUAGAGGCCCAUAGGGACCCAUAGAGACCCUAAGACCCAUAGAGUCCAUAGAGACCCAUGGGACCAAUAGAGACCCAUAGAGACCCAUAGGGACCAUAGAGAAAUAUCGGGGGACCCCAUAGAGACACCAUAGGAACCAUUAGGGACCCAUAGAGACCCAUUAGGGACCCAUAGAGACCCAUUAGAGAACCCAUAGAGACCCUUAGGGACCCAUAGAGGACACCAUGAGAAAAAAAGAAAAACCCAUUAGGACCAUAGAGACCCCCCCCCAUAGAGACCCAUAGGGACCCAUACGAGACCCCAUAGAGACCCAUAGGGACCAAUCAGAGACCCAAGAUGACCCAUAGGGACACAUAGGAGAAUUGCGGACCCCAUAGAGACCCAUAGGGAAACCAUAAGGGACCCAUAGAGACCCAUAGGGACCAAUAGAGGACCCAUAGAGACCCAUAGGAGCCCGCAUGGGGACCCAUAGAGACCCGCAUAGAAGACCCAUAUGGACCCAUAG